UGGAAGGACCAGAAAAGCCUGCCCUCCGGA
This 30-nucleotide non-coding RNA is filed under the name Rattus norvegicus (Norway rat). Lineage: Eukaryota; Metazoa; Chordata; Mammalia; Rodentia; Muridae. The record is from RNAcentral.